GCUUGCUUCAACGGCGCAUAUACUGAAAUUGGAACGAUACAGAGACGAUUAGCAUGGUCCCUGUGCAAGGAUGACAUGCAAAUUUGUGAAGUGUUCCACAUUUUU
This is a small nuclear RNA of Choloepus didactylus (southern two-toed sloth), 105 nucleotides long. Lineage: Eukaryota; Metazoa; Chordata; Mammalia; Pilosa; Megalonychidae. The record is from RefSeq and is a predicted model, not a curated record.